Molecule: transfer RNA, 85 nt
Filed under: bovine gut metagenome
Rfam family: tRNA
About the family: Transfer RNA (tRNA) molecules are approximately 80 nucleotides in length.
Source: RNAcentral
GAGAAGUGUCCGAGUGGUUUAAGGUGUCGGCCUCGAAAACCGUUGUGGGGGAAACUCCACCGAGGGUUCGAAUCCCUCCUUCUCC